This 405-nucleotide ribosomal RNA is filed under the name uncultured bacterium. Its description in RNAcentral is "partial 16S ribosomal RNA". It matches the Rfam family "Bacterial small subunit ribosomal RNA", at positions 29 to 526 of the family's 1533-position model. The record is from RNAcentral.
AUUGAACGCUGGCGGCAGGCUUAACACAUGCAAGUCGAACGAGUGGCGGACGGGUGAGUAAUGCUUGGGAAUCUGGCUUAUGGAGGGGGAUAACGACGGGAAACUGUAGCUAAUACCGCGUACCAUAGGAUGAGCCCAAGUGGGAUUAGGGAGUUGGUGGGGUAAAGGCCCACCAAGCCGACGAUCCCUAGCUGGUCUGAGAGGAUGACCAGGCAACCCGGGACCGGGAACAGGCCCAGACGCCUACGGGAGGCAGCAGUGGGGAAUAUUGCGCAAUGGGGGCAACCUGACGCAGCCAUGCCUCGUGAAUGAAGAAGGCCUUCGGGUUGUAAAGUUCUUUCGGUGACGAGGCGUUAAUCACAGAAGAAGCACCGGCUAACUCCGUGCCAGCAGCCGCGGUAAUAC